RNAcentral lists this ribosomal RNA (532 nucleotides) under uncultured bacterium. RNAcentral's name for it is "bacterial SSU rRNA". It matches the Rfam family "Bacterial small subunit ribosomal RNA", at positions 777 to 1309 of the family's 1533-position model. The record is from RNAcentral.
AAUAGAUACCCGGGUAGUCCACGCCGUAAACGAUGAGUGCUAAGUGUUAGAGGGUUUCCGCCCUUUAGUGCUGCAGCUAACGCAUUAAGCACUCCGCCUGGGAAGUACGGCCGCAAGGCUGAAACUCAAAGGAAUUGACGGGGGCCCGCACAAGCGGUGGAGCAUGUGGUUUAAUUCGAAGCAACGCGAAGAACCUUACCAGGUCUUGACAUCCUCUGACAACCCUAGAGAUAGGGCUUCUCCUUCGGGAGCAGAGUGACAGGUGGUGCAUGGUUGUCGUCAGCUCGUGUCGUGAGAUGUUGGGUUAAGUCCCGCAACGAGCGCAACCCUUGAUCUUAGUUGCCAUCAUUAAGUUGGGCACUCUAAGGUGACUGCCGGUGACAAACCGGAGGAAGGUGGGGAUGACGUCAAAUCAUCAUGCCCCUUAUGACCUGGGCUACACACGUGCUACAAUGGACGGUACAAAGAGCUGCAAGACCGCGAGGUGGAGCUAAUCCCUUAAAGCCAUUCUCAGUUCGGAUUGUAGGCUACG